CUGGAAUGACUUUGUCUUGAUGGUGUCUUAGAUUUCUGUUUAGGUGGCGGAGAAGAACUGGAGCGACUGCGUCUGGGUGGCGUUCUAGAUUUAGCUUUAGGGCAUGGGGAAGACCCUGAAAGGCUGCGCCUCAAAGACAAGCGAGAUUUUGCUUUGGACCGUGGUGAAGAGAGAGACCUGCUCCGCCUUGAAGAAAUGCG
This 200-nucleotide long non-coding RNA is filed under the name Homo sapiens (human). RNAcentral describes it as "HSALNT0226695". The record is from RNAcentral. Lineage: Eukaryota; Metazoa; Chordata; Mammalia; Primates; Hominidae.